RNAcentral lists this ribosomal RNA (429 nucleotides) under Bacillota bacterium. RNAcentral's name for it is "Firmicutes bacterium partial 16S ribosomal RNA". It matches the Rfam family "Bacterial small subunit ribosomal RNA", at positions 355 to 776 of the family's 1533-position model. The record is from RNAcentral. Lineage: Bacteria; Bacillati; Bacillota.
UAGGGAAUCUUCCACAAUGGACGCAAGUCUGAUGGAGCAACGCCGCGUGAGUGAAGAAGGUUUUCGGAUCGUAAAGCUCUGUUGUUGGUGAAGAAGGAUAGAGGCAGUAACUGGUCUUUAUUUGACGGUAAUCAACCAGAAAGUCACGGCUAACUACGUGCCAGCAGCCGCGGUAAUACGUAGGUGGCAAGCGUUGUCCGGAUUUAUUGGGCGUAAAGCGAGCGCAGGCGGAAUGAUAAGUCUGAUGUGAAAGCCCACGGCUCAACCGUGGAACUGCAUCGGAAACUGUCAUUCUUGAGUGCAGAAGAGGAGAGUGGAAUUCCAUGUGUAGCGGUGGAAUGCGUAGAUAUAUGGAAGAACACCAGUGGCGAAGGCGGCUCUCUGGCCUGCAACUGACGCUGAGGCUCGAAAGCAUGGGUAGCGAACAGG